UACGUAGGCACCAAGCGUUGUCCGGAUUUAUUGGGCGUAAAGAGCUCGUAGGCGGUGUGUCGCGUCGGCCGUGAAAACCUGCAGCUUAACUGUGGGCUUGCGGUCGAUACGGGCAUCACUGGAGUUCGGCAGGGGAGACUGGAAUUCCUGGUGUAGCGGUGAAAUGCGCAGAUAUCAGGAGGAACACCGGUGGCGAAGGCGGGUCUCUGGGCCGAUACUGACGCUGAGGAGCGAAAGCGUGGGGAGCGAACAGG
RNAcentral lists this ribosomal RNA (254 nucleotides) under uncultured bacterium. RNAcentral's name for it is "partial 16S ribosomal RNA". It matches the Rfam family "Bacterial small subunit ribosomal RNA", at positions 524 to 776 of the family's 1533-position model. The record is from RNAcentral.